Molecule: ribosomal RNA, 829 nt
Filed under: uncultured Pseudomonadota bacterium
Lineage: Bacteria; Pseudomonadati; Pseudomonadota
Description: bacterial SSU rRNA
Rfam family: Bacterial small subunit ribosomal RNA
Source: RNAcentral
AGUCGAACGCGAAAGUCCCGCAAGGGAUCAGUAGAGUGGCAAACGGGUGAGUAACACGUGGGUGACCUGCCUUCGAGUGUGGGAUAACGUCCCGAAAGGGACGCUAAUACCGCAUCACAUCCCGCCUUUGAAGAGGUGGAGAUCAAAGCUGGGGAUCGCAAGACCUAGCGCUUGAAGAGGGGCCCGCGCCUGAUUAGCUAGUUGGUGGGGUAAUGGCUCACCAAGGCGACGAUCAGUAUCCGGCCUGAGAGGGCGGACGGACACACUGGGACUGAGACACGGCCCAGACUCCUACGGGAGGCAGCAGUGGGGAAUUGUUCGCAAUGGGCGCAAGCCUGACGACGCAACGCCGCGUGGAGGAUGAAGACCUUCGGGUCGUAAACUCCUUUCGAUCGAGACGAAUGGCCUCCGGGUGAACAGUCCGGAGGAGUGACGGUACCGAGAGAAGAAGCCCCGGCUAACUCCGUGCCAGCAGCCGCGGUAAUACGGGGGGGGCAAGCGUUGUUCGGAAUUACUGGGCGUAAAGGGCUCGUAGGCGGCCAACUAAGUCAGACGUGAAAUCCCUCGGCUUAACCGGGGAACUGCGUCUGAUACUGGAUGGCUUGAGAUUGGGAGAGGGAUGCGGAAUUCCAGGUGUAGCGGUGAAAUGCGUAGAUAUCUGGAGGAACACCGGUGGCGAAGGCGGCAUCCUGGACCAACACUGACGCUGAGGAGCGAAAGCCAGGGGAGCAAACGGGAUUAGAUACCCCGGUAGUCCUGGCCCUAAACGAUGAAUGCUUGGUGUGGCGGGUAUCGAUCCCUGCCGUGCCGAAGCUAACGCAUUAAGCAU